This 497-nucleotide ribosomal RNA is filed under the name uncultured bacterium. RNAcentral describes it as "partial 16S ribosomal RNA". It matches the Rfam family "Bacterial small subunit ribosomal RNA", at positions 28 to 507 of the family's 1533-position model. The record is from RNAcentral.
GAUGAACGCUGGCGGCGUGCCUAAUACAUGCAAGUCGAGCGAACAGACGAGGAGCUUGCUCCUCUGACGUUAGCGGCGGACGGGUGAGUAACACGUGGAUAACCUGCCUAUAAGACUGGGAUAACUUCGGGAAACCGGAGCUAAUACCGGAUAAUAUAUUGAACCGCAUGGUUCAAUAGUGAAAGACGGUUUUGCUGUCACUUAUAGAUGGAUCCGCGCCGCAUUAGCUAGUUGGUAAGGUAACGGCUUACCAAGGCAACGAUGCGUAGCCGACCUGAGAGGGUGAUCGGCCACACUGGAACUGAGACACGGUCCAGACUCCUACGGGAGGCAGCAGUAGGGAAUCUUCCGCAAUGGGCGAAAGCCUGACGGAGCAACGCCGCGUGAGCGAUGAAGGUCUUCGGAUCGUAAAACUCUGUUAUUAGGGAAGAACAAAUGUGUAAGUAACUAUGCACGUCUUGACGGUACCUAAUCAGAAAGCCACGGCUAACUACGUG